UAUUUAGGAUGGGGAAUGGGGAGAAGUGGAGCAUCUCUUUACAGAAGAUUUAUGGCCUUGACUUUGAGAGUGUGGGUGGCAGGAUUUAAAUUUGUCUGGACAACAGGAGAAAUUGAAGGAAAGAGAACGAGCUUUGCGAAAACGUAAAGAAAGAGAAGAGCAAGAAGUGGAGAGGGUGCGGUCAAAAGCUCGUAGAAAGGAAGCUGUUGAAUCCUAUCAAGCUUUGCUGGUUGAAAUAAUUAAAGAUCCUCAGGCAUCUUGGACAGAGUCAAAACCUAAAUUAGAGAAGGAUCCCCAAGGACGUGCAGCUAAUCCGCAUUUGGAUCAGUCUGACUUGGAAAAGCUCUUUCGAGAACAUGUGAAGAUAUUGUAUGAGCGGAGCGCACAGGAGUUUAAAGCUUUACUAGCCGAGGUUAUAACUGUUGAAGCUUGUUCACGAGAAACAGAAGAUGGUAAAACAGUUGGAAACUCUUGGUCAACAGCCAAACAACUUCUCAAAGCCGAUCCCAGGUACUCAAAAAUGCCUAGAAAAGAUAGGGAAUCCUUAUGGCGCCGAUAUGUUGAAGAUAUUCAACGGAGGCAAAAGUCAGCACUCGAUGAAGUAGAUAAAGCAAGAAGUAAAGGAUCUUCUGGUUCAAGGAGGAGAUAAAGCAAGAAACAGAAGCUGUAGUAAUCCUCAAGUAUUUCGUAUGAUCAAAGGCAGCUGAGAAAAGACAGUUUUCUCAGGACACUUGUUUUUUAAGAGGGUAUGAAGCAGAGUACUCUCUGCCAGUUCAUGUAUCAUUUUGAAGCACAGUGUCCAGAACUUAUUUUUGUCAAAUCUGAUAAUUCCUUGGACUCUCAUACCUAGGUGAUUAUGUAGUAGAUUUGAUUUCUUCUAAUUUUAUGUAUUCUAGCAUUUCAGUUCGCAGCCAUUUUUCUUGUACGCUAUACGGCCUGACAAGAAAUAGAUUUCAUGAUUGAAUCAAUGUUUUUGCUUUUAGUGUCGAGCAAUAGGGUGCUGCUUGUGUCGAGAAAUAGUUCAAUUCCUUGGAAUCGAGUUUCAGUUUGAA
Molecule: non-coding RNA, 1052 nt
Organism: Nicotiana tabacum (common tobacco)
Lineage: Eukaryota; Viridiplantae; Streptophyta; Magnoliopsida; Solanales; Solanaceae
Source: RefSeq, a predicted model, not a curated record